Molecule: ribosomal RNA, 446 nt
Filed under: uncultured bacterium
Lineage: Bacteria
Description: partial 16S ribosomal RNA
Rfam family: Bacterial small subunit ribosomal RNA
Source: RNAcentral
CCUACGGGUGGCAGCAGUCGAGAAUCAUUCACAAUGGGGGAAACCCUGAUGCUGCGACGCCGCGUGGGGGAAUGAAUGUCUUCGGAUUGUAAGCUCCUGUCGUGUGGGAGCAAAUUAAGAAGAUAGUCCCACAAGAGGAAGAGACGGCUAACUCUGUGCCAGCAGCCGCUGUAAUACAGAGGGCUCAAGCGUUGUUCGGAUUCACUGGGCGUAAGGCGUGCGUAGGCUGUUGCGUAAGUCGUGUGUGAAAGGCGCGGGCUCAACCCGCGGACGGAAUAUGAUACUGCGCGACUAGAGUAAUGGAGGGGGAACCGGAAUUCUCGGUGUAGCAGUGAAAUGCGUAGAUAUCGAGAGGAACACUCGUGGCGAAGGCGGGUUGCUGGACAUUAACUGACGCUGAGGCACGAAGGCCAGGGGAGCGAAAGGGAUUAGAUACCCGAGUAGUC